RNAcentral lists this ribosomal RNA (402 nucleotides) under uncultured bacterium. Its description in RNAcentral is "partial 16S ribosomal RNA". It matches the Rfam family "Bacterial small subunit ribosomal RNA", at positions 28 to 526 of the family's 1533-position model. The record is from RNAcentral.
GACGAACGCUGGCGGCGUGCCUAAUACAUGCAAGUCGAACGCAGUGGGGACGGGUGAGUAACACGUGGGUAACCUCCCAUCAGAGGGGAUAACACUUGGAAACAGGUGCUAAACCGAUACUGAUGGAUGGACCCGCGGUGCAUUAGCGAGUUGGUGAGGUAACGGCUCACCAAGGCCAAGAUGCAUAGCCGACCUGGGAGGGUGAUCGGCCACACUGGGACUGAGACACGGCCCAGACUCCUACGUGGGGCAGCAGUAGGGAAUCGUGCACAAUGGGCGCAAGCCUGAUGCAGCCAUGCCGCGUGUAUGAAGAAGGCCCUAGGGUUGUAAAGUACUUUCAGUCGGGAGGCGUUACCGACAGAAGAAGCACCGGCUAACUCCGUGCCAGCAGCCGCGGUAUAC